This 378-nucleotide transfer-messenger RNA is filed under the name Lewinella sp. It matches the Rfam family "transfer-messenger RNA". From Rfam's summary of the family: Bacterial tmRNA, also known as 10Sa RNA or SsrA, is named for its dual tRNA and mRNA-like properties. Its role is to liberate the mRNA from a stalled ribosome. Lineage: Bacteria; Pseudomonadati; Bacteroidota; Saprospiria; Saprospirales; Lewinellaceae. The record is from RNAcentral.
GGGGCCGUACUGGCAUCGACAGGAGAGUAAACGGUUUAGUAAGCAUGCCGGAGUAUGAUGACUUAUCUCCGUUAACAAACAGUCAUUAACCACUUUUACAUGGCAAUACUCAGUAUGCCAUGGCUGCCUAAUUCUAGGAAUUAGAAAGCCUUUGUGCCGCACGUUUGACGCCUAAUACACAAUGUGCCGCAUAUCAUAACCUCUUAGGCUAGCCAAGUGUGCGGCUCCGAGCACGCGGCGAAAUUCAGGGGCUAAGGCCGGCGUCCGGGAGGGUGACCAAUCCUUUCGCUGGCUCGAAAAUUUAACUGGUCAAUAAGCAUGUAGAAAGCUCUAUCGUGCUUUCUCUGGACCCGGGUUCAACUCCCGGCGGCUCCACAA